GGGGUUGUAGCUCAGUGGUAGAGCGUUCGCUUUGCAUGCGAAAGGCCCUGGUUUCAAUCACCAGCUGCUCCA
This 72-nucleotide transfer RNA is filed under the name Podila minutissima. RNAcentral's name for it is "Mortierella minutissima tRNA". It matches the Rfam family "tRNA". Rfam says of the family: Transfer RNA (tRNA) molecules are approximately 80 nucleotides in length. Lineage: Eukaryota; Fungi; Mortierellomycota; Mortierellomycetes; Mortierellales; Mortierellaceae. The record is from Rfam by way of RNAcentral. RNAcentral also lists the same sequence under 2 other names.